CGAAAUGGACAAUGGAACCACCUCCAUAUUCAUCUCCACCUCCUGAUCAAGAAUUCAACCUCUAAAUCCCCUAAUUUCUGACCUAGAUCCAUAAUUGAAACCAACUACUCAAGAACCAUAAAAAAUCAAAUCUAAAUUACACCUCCAUGAACAAGAUUUGAGUUUCCUCAUGAUAGGGUUUUGCAACAGCAUGGUGUGAGGUUCAACAUAGCAACCAAAAUACAAUGAAAUGAUGUAAGUGAACC
Molecule: long non-coding RNA, 245 nt
Filed under: Lathyrus oleraceus (garden pea)
Lineage: Eukaryota; Viridiplantae; Streptophyta; Magnoliopsida; Fabales; Fabaceae
Description: Pisum sativum (pea) long non-coding RNA (PSAT_LNC037646)
Source: RNAcentral